Molecule: ribosomal RNA, 460 nt
Filed under: uncultured bacterium
Lineage: Bacteria
Description: partial 16S ribosomal RNA
Rfam family: Bacterial small subunit ribosomal RNA
Source: RNAcentral
CCUACGGGGGGCAGCAGUGAGGAAUAUUGGUCAAUGGACGAGAGUCUGAACCAGCCAAGUAGCGUGAAGGAUGACUGCCCUAUGGGUUGUAAACUUCUUUUAUAUGGGAAUAAAAUGUUCCACGUGUGGGAUUUUGUAUGUACCAUAUGAAUAAGCAUAGGCUAACUCCGUGCCAGCAGCCGCGGUAAUACGGAGGAUCCGAGCGUUAUCCGGAUUUAUUGGGUUUAAAGGGAGCGUAGGUGGAUUGUUAAGUCAGUUGUGAAAGUUUGCGGCUCAACCGUAAAAUUGCAGUUGAAACUGGCAGUCUUGAGUACAGUAGAGGUGGGCGGAAUUCGUGGUGUAGCGGUGAAAUGCUUAGAUAUCACGAAGAACUCCGAUUGCGAAGGCAGUUCACUGGACUGCAACUGACACUGAGGCUCGAAAGUGUGGGUAUCAAACAGGAUUAGAUACCCUUGUAGUC